Molecule: ribosomal RNA, 492 nt
Filed under: uncultured bacterium
Lineage: Bacteria
Description: partial 16S ribosomal RNA
Rfam family: Bacterial small subunit ribosomal RNA
Source: RNAcentral
AGUGAACGCUGGCGGUAGGCCUAACACAUGCAAGUCGAACGGCAGCACAGUAAGAGCUUGCUCUUACGGGUGGCGAGUGGCGGACGGGUGAGGAAUACAUCGGAAUCUACUUUUUCGUGGGGGAUAACGUAGGGAAACUUGCGCUAAUACCGCAUACGACCUACGGGUGAAAGCAGGGGAUCUUCGGACCUUGCGCGAUUGAAUGAGCCGAUGUCGGAUUAGCUAGUUGGCGGGGUAAAGGCCCACCAAGGCGACGAUCCGUGGCUGGUCUGAGAGGAUGAUCAGCCACACUGGAACUGAGACACGGUCCAGACUCCUACGGGAGGCAGCAGUGGGGAAUAUUGGACAAUGGGCGCAAGCCUGAUCCAGCCAUACCGCGUGGGUGAAGAAGGCCUUCGGGUUGUAAAGCCCUUUUGUUGGGAAAGAAAAGCAGCAGGUUAAUACCCCGCUGUUCUGACGGUACCCAAAGAAUAAGCACCGGCUAACUUCGUG